UUUAAUAUAAUAUUUGAAUUAAUCUUUAUUCGUUUAUAUGUGCUGUACAAACAUCUUGGGUUUUUAUGCUCGUUACAGUACUAAUUGUAAGCCAAAGUAAUCUUUAGGGGAGUUACUAUGACGAUCGUGACGUCACAUGCUAUCACCCUACGUUAUUAUUCGCAUUAUACUUUCUCUUCUCGUAUUUGUAAUACGUAAGCUUUAGUCGCCACGUUAAUUGAAUUAUUCUUACUUAAGGUGGUUGUAGAUGAUCACAAUUAAUACCAAAGAGCAUAAGAGCCAAAGAUCAAAUCAAAUGAACAUCUAAAAGUUUUAAAAGUAUUGCUUCCGAUUAUGAGCAAAAAACGAAUAAUAUCUCCAGGUAAUCUUCGUAGACGUUUAAUUACUUGACUUCGAUUAACUUUAAACGUGACGCCAUAGCUGGACUAUACGUCAUGCGCAGGUUAGUCAACGUUUUAUAGAUAAUAUUCAUUAAGGAAUUUAAUGACAUUACAACAGGAUUUAUUUCAUAAUCUUAUACGCAUUACCGAAUAAUCAUUUCUUUUCAUAUGAUUCAUUUGCGAGUAAUUCUUACGCACUUAUUCAUACUUAAUAUUUCUCAAGUUCUCGGCUUUUUAUUGCGUCUCGUUAUACUUAUUCGAAAGCAGGAUGCGAAUUAAGUGAAACGAGUCGAGCUAAGUGGUUUGCAUUUUCAUUAAAAUCUAAUAUUAGAUGAAGUUUAACGCCGUGCUCAACUGUGAAUUCAUAAAAAGGGGAUCAUAAAGUUGUCAGAUGACGGGAAGUUGUUUUAUAAAAAGUUUCAAAACAUAAAAGAAGAUUGAAAAAAAUAUG
Molecule: long non-coding RNA, 831 nt
Filed under: Polistes fuscatus (common paper wasp)
Lineage: Eukaryota; Metazoa; Arthropoda; Insecta; Hymenoptera; Vespidae
Description: uncharacterized LOC122524516
Source: RNAcentral